AGUGAACGCUGGCGGUAGGCCUAACACAUGCAAGUCGAACGGCAGCACAGUAAGAGCUUGCUCUUACGGGUGGCGAGUGGCGGACGGGUGAGGAAUACAUCGGAAUCUACUUUUUCGUGGGGGAUAACGUAGGGAAACUUACGCUAAUACCGCAUACGACCUACGGGUGAAAGCAGGGGAUCUUCGGACCUUGCGCGAUUGAAUGAGCCGAUGUCGGAUUAGCUAGUUGGCGGGGUAAAGGCCCACCAAGGCGACGAUCCGUAGCUGGUCUGAGAGGAUGAUCAGCCACACUGGAACUGAGACACGGUCCAGACUCCUACGGGAGGCAGCGGUGGGGAAUAUUGGACAAUGGGCGCAAGCCUGAUCCAGCCAUACCGCGUGGGUGAAGAAGGCCUUCGGGUUGUAAAGCCCUUUUGUUGGGAAAGAAAAGCAGCAGGUUAAUACCCCGCUGUUCUGACGGUGCCCAAAGAAUAAGCACCGGCUAACUUCGUG
This 492-nucleotide ribosomal RNA is filed under the name uncultured bacterium. RNAcentral's name for it is "partial 16S ribosomal RNA". It matches the Rfam family "Bacterial small subunit ribosomal RNA", at positions 29 to 507 of the family's 1533-position model. The record is from RNAcentral.